RNAcentral lists this small nuclear RNA (80 nucleotides) under Caenorhabditis brenneri. RNAcentral's name for it is "sRNA CBN33887". It matches the Rfam family "SmY spliceosomal RNA". Lineage: Eukaryota; Metazoa; Nematoda; Chromadorea; Rhabditida; Rhabditidae. The record is from Rfam by way of RNAcentral.
CUAUUGAAUAACUCACUUUCAGGGCCUUGCAUAAGACCCAGUGAACAAUUUUUGGAGACCCUUCUCUUCGGAUUAGGGUG